AGAUUUAGAGUAGCUUGCUACUCGAAGAUUUUAGUGGCGGACGGGUGAGUAACGCGUGGGCAAUCUGCCCGUAAGAGGGGGAUAACACCGUGAAAACGGUGCUAAUACCGCAUAACAUCACUGAGGUGCAUGCUUUGGUGGUCAAAGGAGUAAUCCGCUUACGGAUGAGCCCGCGUCUGAUUAGCUAGUUAGUAGGGUUUUUUCUUACCAAGGCGGCAAUCAGUAGCCGGCCUGAGAGGGUGACCGGCCACACNGNACCNCAGUCAGUUUCCAGGUAGCUAC
RNAcentral lists this unclassified non-coding RNA (282 nucleotides) under uncultured bacterium. RNAcentral describes it as "partial contains 16S ribosomal RNA and 16S-23S ribosomal RNA intergenic spacer region". It matches the Rfam family "Bacterial small subunit ribosomal RNA", at positions 69 to 342 of the family's 1533-position model. The record is from RNAcentral.